This 87-nucleotide transfer RNA is filed under the name Candidatus Yanofskybacteria bacterium RIFCSPHIGHO2_01_FULL_43_32. RNAcentral's name for it is "tRNA-Leu". It matches the Rfam family "tRNA". Rfam says of the family: Transfer RNA (tRNA) molecules are approximately 80 nucleotides in length. The record is from RNAcentral. RNAcentral also lists the same sequence under 5 other names. Lineage: Bacteria; Candidatus Yanofskyibacteriota.
GCCGAGGUGGAGAAACUGGCAGACUCAUCAGCCUUAGGAGCUGAUGCUCGCAAGGGCGUGUGGGUUCAAAUCCCACCCUCGGCACCA